This 253-nucleotide ribosomal RNA is filed under the name uncultured bacterium. RNAcentral describes it as "partial 16S ribosomal RNA". It matches the Rfam family "Bacterial small subunit ribosomal RNA", at positions 524 to 776 of the family's 1533-position model. The record is from RNAcentral.
UACGUAGGUGGCAAGCGUUGUCCGGAUUUAUUGGGUUUAAAGGGUGCGUAGGCGGUCCUUUAAGUCAGUGCUGAAAUACUCUAGCUUAACUAGAGGGGUGGCAUUGAUACUGGAGGACUUGAAUGAAGUCGAGGUAGGCGGAAUUGACGGUGUAGCGGUGAAAUGCGUAGAUAUACGGAGGAACACCAGCGGCGAAGGCGGGUAGCUGGGCCAACACUGACGCUGAUGUGCGAAAGCUAGGGGAGCAAACGGG